AGGAUUUGAGAGCUGGCUUGAAGUUCUUUUCAGUGGCAUAAGGAUUGUUUUUGGAGGAUUUUUGAAGACUUAGAAAUUAUUAUUCAAAAUCAAGGUUUGUAUUGGUGAUUUGGAUUUUAUAUAAUAUAAUUAGGACUAGCUAUUUUGGCUCAUUUGUGUAAUUUGUAUAACAUCUAUGGUUGAAAACUUGAUACUGUUUGGAUUAUUGGAUGUGCUAAGUUUUUAUAAAAUUUUGUAAUAAUCUAACACUGUAGUUUAGAGAUAUUGAGUUUUUAGCACAAGAGGGUUUCAAAAGUUGGCAUUGUGAAGUUGGAUAGGGUUUCUAUAAUAUCUAGAGAUCUAUCAAUUGGAUCAAGGUGAAAUUUGGCAUGGUAUUUAAGGACUUGAAGAUCAAGCUACAUACCAAUUUUGAGUCAAAUUUAAUGGUUGGAAAGGGAAAAAUCAUUGCUCGGAUUUCUACAUAACUUUUCAAGUUGGCGAUUGAGUGACAUCAAUGCAAUUUUUAGAGAUUUUCUCAAAAUCUAUAAGUUGAAUUAGGCUUACAAUUUUUGAGCAUAUAGAAGACUUACAUUGACAAUUGCAUGCAAAAUUUUAUAUCAAGUGGAUGGUUAGAUUGGAUGUUAGAGCUUAUUAAAGCUCACUAAUUACGAUUGGGGCUUACAAGAAAAAUCUAAAUUGCUUAAAUAUGAAAGUAAUAAGAUAA
Molecule: long non-coding RNA, 703 nt
Filed under: Physcomitrium patens
Lineage: Eukaryota; Viridiplantae; Streptophyta; Bryopsida; Funariales; Funariaceae
Description: long non-coding RNA (PPAT_LNC010455)
Source: RNAcentral